This 449-nucleotide ribosomal RNA is filed under the name uncultured bacterium. Its description in RNAcentral is "bacterial SSU rRNA". It matches the Rfam family "Bacterial small subunit ribosomal RNA", at positions 29 to 524 of the family's 1533-position model. The record is from RNAcentral.
AACGAACGCUGGCAGCAUGCCUAACACAUGCAAGUCGAACGAGACCUUCGGGUCUAGUGGCGCACGGGUGCGUAACGCGUGGGAAUCUGCCCUGGGGUGCGGAAUAACUCGGAGAAAUCCGUGCUAAUACCGCAUAAUGUCUUCGGACCAAAGAUUUAUCGCCCUGGGAUGAGCCCGCGUAGGAUUAGCUAGUUGGUGGGGUAAAGGCCUACCAAGGCGACGAUCCUUAGCUGGUCUGAGAGGAUGAUCAGCCACACUGGGACUGAGACACGGCCCAGACUCCUACGGGAGGCAGCAGUGGGGAAUAUUGGACAAUGGGCGAAAGCCUGAUCCAGCAAUGCCGCGUGAGUGAUGAAGGCCCUAGGUUGUAAAGCUCUUUUACCUGGGAUGAUAAUGACAGUACCGGGAGAAUAAGCUCCGGCUAACUCCGUGCCAGCAGCCGCGGUAAU